This 22-nucleotide ribosomal RNA is filed under the name 'Cucumis sativus' phyllody phytoplasma. Its description in RNAcentral is "partial 16S ribosomal RNA". RNAcentral also lists the same sequence under 3 other names. Lineage: Bacteria; Bacillati; Mycoplasmatota; Mollicutes; Acholeplasmatales; Acholeplasmataceae. The record is from RNAcentral.
GGAUGGAUCACCUCCUUUCUAA